This 289-nucleotide unclassified non-coding RNA is filed under the name Hevea brasiliensis (rubber tree). The record is from RNAcentral. Lineage: Eukaryota; Viridiplantae; Streptophyta; Magnoliopsida; Malpighiales; Euphorbiaceae.
GAAGUUUGGUUUUGGAUGAUUGAAUUGAGUUGCACACUUUUCCUAGCCUUAAAUUGAAGCAAAUGUAACAGUUUUGGUUUCUGUAAUAUCUAGCUGGUUUUCUUCCUAGAUUUUGUGCUUAUGUCUUGCCUUUGCCUCUUUUGAAUUGGUUCAUGCUUUGCUGCACCAAAUGACUUAGGUUAUUUUUAGAAUAUACUGACGCUGUAGGAUGGAUAUUUUCACUCUUACAAUUGGUUUAAGACUGAUCUUUGUUGUGCCGUGUAAUGUAAUGUUGGUUCAAGUGGCAUUA